GCGGCCGCCCAAGCCCGGCUCCCACGUCCCGCUCUCGGCUCCCCGGAGGUCGGGGACUUUGAGGUAUCUCCACGUCAAACCUUCAUGAGGCGACACCGCAAGUAGCUGCUGAGGACGUAGCGGAUCCUCUCCAUCUCCAUUUGGUGGAUGCUGACCUUCAGGUCCUCCCUUUUGGCUCUCCUGAGAUUUUCUUCCUAUUAAAUGAGAAAUUAAGGUUUAUAAAAAACAUGAUGUUCAACCAUCAUCACCGGCAACGUUGAGGACCCAGACUAUGUUUCAGUACAAGGAAAACAAAAAUAUCAUGUUUUAUGCUUGAAAUGGCUACAUCUGGUUUCUGGUCACACAGUGGCAUGAUAAUGGCUCACUGCAUUCUUGACCUCCAAGGCUUAAGUGAUCCUCCUGCCUCAGCCCCCAGAGUAGCUGGGACUAAAGGUACAUACCACAAAGCCUGGCUAAUUUUUAAAUUUUUUAAAUAAAGAUGGGGUUUUACCAUGUUGCCUACGGUGGUCUUCGAAAUCCUGGCCUCAAGACAUCCCCCUGCAUUAGCCUCCAGAAGUG
RNAcentral lists this non-coding RNA (558 nucleotides) under Pan troglodytes (chimpanzee). Lineage: Eukaryota; Metazoa; Chordata; Mammalia; Primates; Hominidae. The record is from RNAcentral.